GCUCCAAGUCAUGACAAUAGCUAUGUAUGCUAAUAUUAAUGAUAGCAUAUCAUAGUGAUACCUCUGUAAUGAUGGGAAGUGAUUUUGUUGGGGUUUCAGCCAGGAAAGGUGUGUUUCAGAAGCUUUAUAUAGGCUGUACAAAGGAAGCAUAAAACAUAAUUACUGUCUCCUGCCUGGACCAAGGACACACAUCUUACAGAAGACAAGAUGGGAACUCCAAGGAUGUUAUCAGUAGCUUUGAUGCUGACACUUAUAUGCCUCUGGGCAUCAGAUAUUUCUGCUCAAACAGUCAACGCUACAACUACUGCUGCACCAACAG
Molecule: long non-coding RNA, 319 nt
Organism: Rana temporaria (common frog)
Lineage: Eukaryota; Metazoa; Chordata; Amphibia; Anura; Ranidae
Exons: 3
Source: RefSeq, a predicted model, not a curated record